GAAAUGCGAUAAGUAGUGUGAAUUGCAGAAUUCAGUGAAUCAUCGAAUCUUUGAACGCACAUUGCGCCCUUUGGCAUUCCGAAGGGCAUGCCUGUUCGAGCGUCAUUGCAACCCCUCCAGCCCCCGUGCUGGGUGCUGGGCGUCUUGUGCUUGCGCGCCUUUGCGCGGCACUCGCCUGAAAAGCAUCGGCGCCGGCGCGUCGGCCCUGCGCGUAGCAUACUGUUCGCGCACGGGACCCCGCCGCGACGGCCGCCGCCAACCCGCAGCGCACGGCGGCUCUCCGCCCCCGCAGCAGCACCUUUGACUUGACCUCGGAUCAGGUAGGGAUACCCGCUGAACUUAA
RNAcentral lists this unclassified non-coding RNA (343 nucleotides) under uncultured Dothideomycetes. RNAcentral's name for it is "sequence contains ITS1". The stretch from base 1 to 105 matches the Rfam family "5.8S ribosomal RNA", at positions 50 to 154 of the family's 154-position model. Lineage: Eukaryota; Fungi; Ascomycota; Dothideomycetes. The record is from RNAcentral.